This 498-nucleotide ribosomal RNA is filed under the name uncultured bacterium. RNAcentral describes it as "partial 16S ribosomal RNA". It matches the Rfam family "Bacterial small subunit ribosomal RNA", at positions 28 to 523 of the family's 1533-position model. The record is from RNAcentral.
GAUGAACGCUAGCUACAGGCUUAACACAUGCAAGUCGAGGGGUAGCAGGGUAGCAAUACCGCUGACGACCGGCGCACGGGUGAGUAACACGUAUCCAACCUUCCCAUAACUCGGGGAUAGCCUUUCGAAAGAAAGAUUAAUACCCGAUAGUACUUGUUCAAGGCAUCUUGAGAAAGUUAAAGAUUUAUUGGUUAUGGAUGGGGAUGCGUUCCAUUAGAUAGUUGGUGAGGUAACGGCUCACCAAGCCUUCGAUGGAGAGGGGUUCUGAGAGGAAGGUCCCCCACAUUGGUACUGAGAAACGGAACAAACUCCUACGGGAGGCAGCAGUGAGGAAGAUUGGUCAAUGGGCGAGAGCCUGAACCAGCCAAGUAGCGUGAAGGAUGAGGGUCCUAUGGAUUGUAAACUUCUUUUAUAGUAGAAUAAAGUGAUCCACGUGUGGAUUUUUGUAUGUAUACUAUGAAUAAGGAUCGGCUAACUCCGUGCCAGCCGCCGCGGUAA